Molecule: non-coding RNA, 63 nt
Organism: Rattus norvegicus (Norway rat)
Lineage: Eukaryota; Metazoa; Chordata; Mammalia; Rodentia; Muridae
Source: Rfam
GGGGAUUUAGCUCAGUGGUAGAGCGCUUGCCUAGGAAGCGCAAGGCCCUAGGUUCAGUCCCCA